GGAAGUUUUGUCCAACUGUGAUGUGACAUAAAGCCACCAAUUGAAAUCCAAUUGGUAUAGUUUAAGUGGAACCAUGGCUUGCAAUAAAGUGGUAUUUUGUCUCUCAAAAUAGCUAUUUGGCUUAGUUAGCUAGCAAUAUGGCUUGGUUAGGCAGAGAUCUGGUUCCAUUACUUAAUUUUUGGACUCAAAAUACCCUUCAAAAGGACAGGUGGCAUUUUAUUAAGCAAGGGCAAAACUGAUUUUACCAUUGUCAUUAGUUUUCUUAUAUUGUAAU
Molecule: long non-coding RNA, 274 nt
Filed under: Trifolium pratense (red clover)
Lineage: Eukaryota; Viridiplantae; Streptophyta; Magnoliopsida; Fabales; Fabaceae
Description: long non-coding RNA (TPRA_LNC006250)
Source: RNAcentral